Molecule: ribosomal RNA, 400 nt
Filed under: uncultured bacterium
Lineage: Bacteria
Description: bacterial SSU rRNA
Rfam family: Bacterial small subunit ribosomal RNA
Source: RNAcentral
UGGGGAAUAUUGCGCAAUGGAGGAAACUCUGACGCAGCGACGCCGCGUGGGUGAUGAAGGUUUUCGGAUUGUAAAGCCCUGUCGGCUGGGAAAAAGGUAGUCGUGCUAACACCACGAUUGCUUGAUGGUACCAGCAAAGGAAGCACCGGCUAACUCUGUGCCAGCAGCCGCGGUAAUACAGAGGGUGCAAGCGUUGUUCGGAAUUACUGGGCGUAAAGGGCGCGUAGGCGGCCUAGCAAGUCAGAUGUGAAAUCCCGGGGCUUAACUCCGGACGUGCAUUUGAAACUGCUAGGCUCGAGUACAGUAGAGGUUGGUGGAAUUCCCAGUGUAGAGGUGAAAUUCGUAGAUAUUGGGAGGAACACCGGUGGCGAAGGCGGCCAACUGGGCUGUAACUGACGCU